GACGAACGCUGGCGGCGUGCUUAACACAUGCAAGUCGAACGGAAAGGCCUGCUUUCCCUUGUGGAUUGCGGGUACUCGAGUGGCGAACGGGUGAGUAACACGUGAGUGAUCUGCCCCCAACUUGGGUAUAAGCCUGGGAAACUGGGUCUAAUUCCCGAUAGGACUGCAGGGUGGUGCCUGUGGUGGAAGACGAUUUUCUAGUGGUUGGGGAUGAGCUCGCGGCCUAUCAGCUUGUUGGUGGGGUAAUGUCCUACCAAGGCGGUGACGGGUAGCCGGCCUGGGAGCGUGGACGGCCACACUGGGACUGGGAUACGGCCCAGACUGCUACGAGAGGCAGCAGUGGGGAAUAUAGGGCAGUGAGCGGGAGCCUGCAGCAGCGACGCCGCGUGGGGGAUGACGGGCUUGGGGUUGUAAGCUCCUUUCGACCGCGAGGAAGCCACCUGGUUGGAAGGGUGGUGACGGUAGUGGUAGAAGAAGCACCGGCUAACUACGUG
This 494-nucleotide ribosomal RNA is filed under the name uncultured bacterium. Its description in RNAcentral is "partial 16S ribosomal RNA". It matches the Rfam family "Bacterial small subunit ribosomal RNA", at positions 28 to 507 of the family's 1533-position model. The record is from RNAcentral.